Molecule: ribosomal RNA, 1171 nt
Filed under: uncultured organism
Description: bacterial SSU rRNA
Rfam family: Bacterial small subunit ribosomal RNA
Source: RNAcentral
UCUUUCGAGUGAAUCAUAAGGUGGAAAGCGGCGGAAGGGUGAGUAACGCGUGGGCAACCUGCCUUGUACAGGGGGACAACACCGGGAAACCGGUGCUAAUACCGCAUAAAAUCCCAAAAGGACAUCCUUUAAGGGUCAAAGGAGAAAUCCGGUACAAGAUGGGCUCGCGUCCGAUUAGCUAGUUGGUGAGGUAACGGCCCACCAAGGCGACGAUCGGUAGCCGGACUGAGAGGUCGAUCGGCCACAUUGGGACUGAGACACGGCCCAGACUCCUACGGGAGGCAGCAGUGGGGAAUAUUGCGCAAUGGGGGAAACCCUGACGCAGCGACGCCGCGUGAAGGAAGAAGGCUUUCGGGUUGUAAACUUCUUUGAUUGGGGACGAAGAAAGUGACGGUACCCAAAAAACAAGCCACGGCUAACUACGUGCCAGCAGCCGCGGUAAUACGUAGGUGGCGAGCGUUGUCCGGAAUUACUGGGUGUAAAGGGCGUGUAGGCGGGAAGGCAAGUCAGGUGUGAAAUACCAUGGCUCAACUGUGGGGGUGCAUCUGAAACUGUCUUUCUUGAGUGCUGGAGAGGGAAGUGGAAUUCCUAGUGUAGCGGUGAAAUGCGUAGAUAUUAGGAGGAACACCAGUGGCGAAGGCGGCUUCCUGGACAGUAACUGACGCUGAGGCGCGAAAGCGCGGGGAGCGAACAGGAUUAGAUACCCUGGUAGUCCACGCCGUAAACGAUGGAUACUAGGUGUAGGGGGUAUCGACCCCUUCUGUGCCGGAGUUAACACAAUAAGUAUCCCACCUGGGGAAUACGACCGCAAGGUUGAAACUCAAAGGAAUUGACGGGGGCCCGCACAAGCAGUGGAGUAUGUGGUUUAAUUCGAAGCAACGCGAAGAACCUUACCAGGGCUUGACAUCCCUUGACGACACUAGAGAUAGUGUUUUCCUUCGGGACAAGGAGACAGGUGGUGCAUGGUUGUCGUCAGCUCGUGUCGUGAGAUGUUGGGUUAAGUCCCGCAACGAGCGCAACCCCUGUUGUUAGUUGCCAGCACGUUAUGGUGGGCACUCUAACGAGACUGCCGGUGACAAAUCGGAGGAAGGUGGGGACGACGUCAAAUCAUCAUGCCCCUUAUGUCCUGGGCUACACACGUACUACAAUGGCUGUUACAGACGGAAGCGAA